RNAcentral lists this transfer RNA (76 nucleotides) under Bacillota bacterium. RNAcentral's name for it is "tRNA-Thr". It matches the Rfam family "tRNA". Rfam says of the family: Transfer RNA (tRNA) molecules are approximately 80 nucleotides in length. Their secondary structure includes four short double-helical elements and three loops (D, anti-codon, and T loops). Lineage: Bacteria; Bacillati; Bacillota. The record is from RNAcentral.
GCCCGCGUAGCUCAGUAGGUAGAGCGCAUCCAUGGUAAGGAUGAGGUCACCAGUUCAAUUCUGGUUGCGGGCUCCA